UAUCUCUGUAGAGUCUGCAUAUCAAUAAGCGGAGGAAAAGAAACUAACUAGGAUUCCCUUAGUAACGGCGAGUGAAGCGGGAAGAGCUCAAAUUUGAAAUCUUCAAGGUUCUACCUUGACGAAUUGUAGUUUAAAGAAGUGUUUUCUGUUGGAGUUUUGGUAAAAGUUCUUUGGAAUAGGACAUCAUAGAGGGUGAGAAUCCCGUAUUUGACCAUUAUUUCCAGCUUUGUGAUACACUUUCAAAGAGUCGGAUUGUUUGGGAAUGCAGUCCAAAAUGGGUGGUAAAUUUCAUCUAAAGCUAAAUACUGGCGAGAGACCGAUAGCGAACAAGUGCCGUGAGGGAAAGAUGAAAAGAACUUUGAAAAGAGAGUUAAACAGUACGUGAAAUUGUCAAAAGGGAAGCGUUUGACACCAGUGUUGUUUUUCCGAAAAUCAAUUACGAAUGGCUUGAUUCUGUGUUGUAUUGACCUUAUCAGCUUUCUUCACUUUUUUCGAGUCUUUCUUAAUGCACUUUUCGGUUAACAAGUCAACAUCAAUUUCUUUUGUUGUAAAAGAGUAUUCGGAAGGUGGCUUUCUUUUCGGAGAAAGUGUUUAUAGCCCUAUACUUCUACAAUCGGAGAGAUUGAGGUCUGCAGCGUAGAUCCUUCGGGGUUAGAUACACUUGUGCUAAGUUGUAGCUUUUCAUAGACAACUUGUUGACUAUGUUUAGUCAUGCGGCUUACUCGCUUGUGCUAUUUUACCUACGCUUAGGAUGUUGACGAGACUGUCGAUCUC
This 774-nucleotide ribosomal RNA is filed under the name uncultured Neocallimastigales. Its description in RNAcentral is "partial large subunit ribosomal RNA". It matches the Rfam family "Eukaryotic large subunit ribosomal RNA", at positions 24 to 647 of the family's 3401-position model. The record is from RNAcentral. Lineage: Eukaryota; Fungi; Neocallimastigomycota; Neocallimastigomycetes; Neocallimastigales.